AGUUGCCAGACCUGGGGUCACUGCAACCAAUUCCAGCUCUAGUCACUUGGCGGUGGCCCAGGUGUUUGGGGUAAAGGUGGGGCCUAGGCUGGCAGCUCAGCGACACCACCACUGCCGUGACCUGGACAAGCCCCUGGAAUGCUGUGCCUCAGUUUCCCUCCCUGUAGAACAAGGACGAUCGUGACCAUCCCUUUGUCAGGGUGAAGGCUCACAGUUCAAUCUCGUCUGGAACCGCAGGCUGGGGAACCUCAGAGACCACUGGGCUGGAGGGGUCAAAGCUAAGAACCCACCCUGGAAAAUACACAGGCAGUUUUGUCUGUGAUAUUCGGGGGCUCAUCAGACCUCCCCGAGGACCAUCCCGGGACACUAAGACUCUACUUUACAGAAGGGCAACAAAUCUGUGCAGGAUGUUGUGGACAGGAAACCGAGGCCCAAAGCCAUCCACUGAAUUGCCAUGAGCCAGAAAGGGCAGGGCCAGAAAGGGCAAGGGCCCAGAGGGACAGCAGCCCCCAGAGGCGAGGGUAAAUUGAGGCUCCGAGUGGCUGAUCACACAGGUGCAUGGUGAGGCUGUGAGGCCUGCCAUCUGAGGUGCCCACUGUGUGCCGUCGGAAGGGGGGCCCAGCAGUGCCCUCGGGC
Molecule: long non-coding RNA, 636 nt
Filed under: Homo sapiens (human)
Lineage: Eukaryota; Metazoa; Chordata; Mammalia; Primates; Hominidae
Description: non-protein coding lnc-MAD1L1-4:1
Source: RNAcentral